RNAcentral lists this ribosomal RNA (250 nucleotides) under uncultured bacterium. Its description in RNAcentral is "partial 16S ribosomal RNA". It matches the Rfam family "Bacterial small subunit ribosomal RNA", at positions 524 to 776 of the family's 1533-position model. The record is from RNAcentral.
UACGUAGGGUGCAAGCGUUAAUCGGAAUUACUGGGCGUAAAGCGUGCGCAGGCGGUUUGUAAGUCUGUCGUGAAAUCCCCGGGCUCAACCUGGAAUGGCGAUGGAGACUGCAAGGCUAGAGUUUGGCAGAGGGGGGUAGAAUUCCACGUGUAGCAGUGAAAUGCGUAGAUAUGUGGAGGAACACCGAUGGCGAAGGCAGCCCCCUGGUCAAAACUGACGCUCAUGCACGAAAGCGUGGGGAGCAAACAGG